GGGUCAGUAGGUUGGUCGUGCCACCGGUACGUACUGGCCUCACUGAUUCCUCCUUCCUGAAGAACCGUAAUGCCAUUAAUUUGGUGUUGCGGGGAAACAGGACUGUUACUUUGAAAAAAUUAGAGUGUUUAAAGCAAGCUAACGCUUGAAUACAUUAGCAUGGAAUAAUGAAGUAGGACGAUCGAUCCUAUUUUGUCGGUUUCUAGGAUUGACGUA
This 216-nucleotide ribosomal RNA is filed under the name Glomeromycotina sp. RNAcentral describes it as "partial small subunit ribosomal RNA". The stretch from base 40 to 216 matches the Rfam family "Eukaryotic small subunit ribosomal RNA", at positions 686 to 864 of the family's 1831-position model. Lineage: Eukaryota; Fungi; Glomeromycota. The record is from RNAcentral.